RNAcentral lists this ribosomal RNA (198 nucleotides) under uncultured bacterium. RNAcentral's name for it is "partial 16S ribosomal RNA". It matches the Rfam family "Bacterial small subunit ribosomal RNA", at positions 326 to 539 of the family's 1533-position model. The record is from RNAcentral.
ACGCUCGACACCUACGGGAAGCAGCAGUGGGGAAUAUUGCACAAUGGGGGAAACCCUGAUGCAGCGACGCCGCGUGGAGGAAGAAGGUCUUCGGAUUGUAAACUCCUGUUGUUGGGGAAAAAGAGGAUGGUACCCAACAAGGAAGUGACGGCUAACUACGCGCCAGCAGCCGCGGUAAUCUGAGCGGGCUGGCAAGGC